RNAcentral lists this ribosomal RNA (755 nucleotides) under uncultured Bacteroidota bacterium. RNAcentral's name for it is "bacterial SSU rRNA". It matches the Rfam family "Bacterial small subunit ribosomal RNA", at positions 572 to 1332 of the family's 1533-position model. The record is from RNAcentral. Lineage: Bacteria; Pseudomonadati; Bacteroidota.
CAGGCAGGAUGGUAAGUCAGUGGUGAAAGCCCGAGGCUUAACUUCGGGAUUGCCAUUGAAACUACCCUUCUUGAGUACAGUCGAAGACGGCGGAAUGAGUUAUGUAGCGGUGAAAUGCAUAGAUAUAACUCAGAACACCGAUUGCGAAGGCAGCUGUCUAGGCUGAGACUGACGCUGAGGCACGAAAGCGUGGGGAGCGAGCAGGAUUAGAUACCCUGGUAGUCCACGCUGUAAACUAUGAUCACUCGCUGUUGGCAAUAUAAAGUCAGCGGCUGAGCGAAAGCAUUAAGUGAUCCACCUGGGGAGUACGUCGGCAACGAUGAAACUCAAAGGAAUUGACGGGGGCCCGCACAAGCGGAGGAACAUGUGGUUUAAUUCGAUGAUACGCGAGGAACCUUACCUGGGCUUAAAUGUAGAGUGCAUGGAGGGGAAACCUUCCUUUCCUUCGGGACUCUUUACAAGGUGCUGCAUGGUUGUCGUCAGCUCGUGCCGUGAGGUGUCGGGUUAAGUCCCAUAACGAGCGCAACCCCUAUCGUUAGUUGCCAUCAGGUCAUGCUGGGGACUCUAGCGAGACUGCCGGUGUAAACCGGAGGAAGGUGGGGAUGACGUCAAAUCAGCACGGCCCUUACGCCCAGGGCUACACACGUGUUACAAUGGCCGGAACAAAGAGCAGCUCCUACGCGAGUAGAUGCUAAUCUCUAAAACCGGUCUCAGUUCGGAUCGGAGUCUGCAAUUCGACUCCGUGAAGGUGGAUU